AUUGAACGCUGGCGGCAGGCUUAACACAUGCAAGUCGAGCGGGGUGAUGGUGCUUGCACUAUCACUUAGCGGCGGACGGGUGAGUAAUGCUUAGGAAUCUGCCUAUUAGUGGGGACAACAUCUCGAAAGGGAUGCUAAUACCGCAUACGUCCUACGGGAGAAAGCAGGGGAUCACUUGUGACCUUGCGCUAAUAGAUGAGCCUAAGUCAGAUUAGCUAGUUGGUGGGGUAAAGGCCUACCAAGGCGACGAUCUGUAGCGGGUCUGAGAGGAUGAUCCGCCACACUGGGACUGAGACACGGCCCAGACUCCUACGGGAGGCAGCAGUGGGGAAUAUUGGACAAUGGGGGGAACCCUGAUCCAGCCAUGCCGCGUGUGUGAAGAAGGCCUUAUGGUUGUAAAGCACUUUAAGCGAGGAGGAGGCUCUUUUGGUUAAUACCCAAGAUGAGUGGACGUUACUCGCAGAAUAAGCACCGGCUAACUCUGUGCCAGCAGCCGCCGCAG
RNAcentral lists this ribosomal RNA (502 nucleotides) under uncultured bacterium. Its description in RNAcentral is "partial 16S ribosomal RNA". It matches the Rfam family "Bacterial small subunit ribosomal RNA", at positions 30 to 523 of the family's 1533-position model. The record is from RNAcentral.